RNAcentral lists this ribosomal RNA (1280 nucleotides) under Salmonella enterica subsp. enterica serovar Heidelberg. Its description in RNAcentral is "bacterial LSU rRNA". It matches the Rfam family "Bacterial large subunit ribosomal RNA", at positions 1 to 1211 of the family's 2925-position model. RNAcentral also lists the same sequence under 1 other name. Lineage: Bacteria; Pseudomonadati; Pseudomonadota; Gammaproteobacteria; Enterobacterales; Enterobacteriaceae. The record is from RNAcentral.
GGGUUGUGAGGUUAAGCGACUAAGCGUACACGGUGGAUGCCCUGGCAGUCAGAGGCGAUGAAGGGCGUGCUAAUCUGCGAUAAGCGCCGGUAAGGUGAUAUGAACCGUUAUAACCGGCGAUACCCGAAUGGGGAAACCCAGUGUGAUUCGUCACACUAUCAUUAACUGAAUCCAUAGGUUAAUGAGGCGAACCGGGGGAACUGAAACAUCUAAGUACCCCGAGGAAAAGAAAUCAACCGAGAUUCCCCCAGUAGCGGCGAGCGAACGGGGAGGAGCCCAGAGCCUGAAUCAGCAUGUGUGUUAGUGGAAGCGUCUGGAAAGGCGCGCGAUACAGGGUGACAGCCCCGUACACAAAAGCGCAUGUGCUGUGAGCUCGAUGAGUAGGGCGGGACACGUGGUAUCCUGUCUGAAUAUGGGGGGACCAUCCUCCAAGGCUAAAUACUCCUGACUGACCGAUAGUGAACCAGUACCGUGAGGGAAAGGCGAAAAGAACCCCGGCGAGGGGAGUGAAAAAGAACCUGAAACCGUGUACGUACAAGCAGUGGGAGCCCCACCACCAAAGCAUUCUCUGGUGUUGAAGGCCCUGCAAAGCAGCAUCGCGGUGGCGGAGCGUCGUUUGCGACGCCCAACACACAAAACAAGCGGUGAAUGCUUUGGGGUGGGGUGACUGCGUACCUUUUGUAUAAUGGGUCAGCGACUUAUAUUCUGUAGCAAGGUUAACCGAAUAGGGGAGCCGGAGGGAAACCGAGUCUUAAUUGGGCGUUAAGUUGCAGGGUAUAGACCCGAAACCCGGUGAUCUAGCCAUGGGCAGGUUGAAGGUUGGGUAACACUAACUGGAGGACCGAACCGACUAAUGUUGAAAAAUUAGCGGAUGACCUGUGGCUGGGGGUGAAAGGCCAAUCAAACCGGGAGAUAGCUGGUUCUCCCCGAAAGCUAUUUAGGUAGCGCCUCGUGAAUUCAUCUCCGGGGGUAGAGCACUGUUUCGGCUAGGGGGCCAUCCCGGCUUACCAACCCGAUGCAAACUGCGAAUACCGGAGAAUGUUAUCACGGGAGACACACGGCGGGUGCUAACGUCCGUCGUGAAGAGGGAAACAACCCAGACCGCCAGCUAAGGUCCCAAAGUCAUGGUUAAGUGGGAAACGAUGUGGGAAGGCCCAGACAGCCAGGAUGUUGGCUUAGAAGCAGCCAUCAUUUAAAGAAAGCGUAAUAGCUCACUGGUCGAGUCGGCCUGCGCGGAAGAUGUAACGGGGCUAAACCAUGCACCGAAGCUGCGGCAGCGA